UGUAUUGCUCCAAAAGAUGCUGAACGAAAUGACCUCAAAGAUAACGGCAAACUUACAGUCUGUGGUGAAUGACCUGCAGAAAGAUUUCCAAGAGCUGGGCACGAGAACUUCUGCUAACUAAGAUAAAAUGGUACCCAUAAUGAUAUGGCGGGAAAAAUGGAGGGCCUUAUUGCACGUAUGGACCUCUAUGAAACUAAGCUGGUGGAUAGCGAGGAC
Pelobates cultripes (western spadefoot toad) is the source of this 216-nucleotide non-coding RNA. The record is from the annotation of a GenBank genome assembly. Lineage: Eukaryota; Metazoa; Chordata; Amphibia; Anura; Pelobatidae.